ACGCCUUAUACAUGCAAGUCGAACGCAGUAGCAAUACUGAGUGGCAGACGGGUGAGUAUGAUGUGGGAAUCUGCCUUUUGGUUUGGAAUAACUCGGGGAAACUUGAGCUAAUACCGGAUAAGCCCUUACGGGGAAAGCUUUAUGCGCCGAAAGAUGAGCCCGCACUUGAUUAGCUAGUUGGUGAGGUAAAAGCUCACCAAGGCAACGAUCAAUAGCUGUUCUUAGAGGAAGACCAGCCACAUUGGGACUGAGACACGGCCCAGACUCCUACGGGAGGCAGCAGUAAGGAAUCUUGCACAAUGGGGGAAACCCUGAUGCAGCGAUGCCGCGUGAGUGAAGAAGGCCCUUGGGUUGUAAAACUCUUUCGUCGGGGAAGAAAAUGACUGUACCCGAAUAAGAAGGUCCGGCUAACUUCGUGCCAGCAGCCGCGGUAAUACGAAGGGACCUAGCGUAGUUCGGAAUUACUGGGCUUAAAGAGCUCGUAGGUGGUUAAAAAAGUUGAUGGUGAAAUCCCAAGGCUCAACCUUGGAACUGCCAUCAAAACUUUUUAGCUAGAGUAUGAUAGAGGAAAGUGGAAUUUCUAGUGUAGAGGUGAAAUUCGUAGAUAUUAGAAAGAACACCAAAAGCGAAGGCAACUUUCUGGAUCAUUACUGACACUGAGGAGCGAAAGCAUGGGUAGCGAAGAGGAUUAGAUACCCUCGUAGUCCAUGCUGUAAACGAUGUGUGCUAGACGUUGGAAAUUUAUUUUCAGUGUCGCAGCGAAAGCGUUAAGCACACCGCCUGGGGAGUACGACCGC
This 797-nucleotide ribosomal RNA is filed under the name uncultured Pelagibacteraceae bacterium. Its description in RNAcentral is "bacterial SSU rRNA". It matches the Rfam family "Bacterial small subunit ribosomal RNA", at positions 44 to 889 of the family's 1533-position model. The record is from RNAcentral. Lineage: Bacteria; Pseudomonadati; Pseudomonadota; Alphaproteobacteria; Candidatus Pelagibacterales; Candidatus Pelagibacteraceae.